GAGUAACACGUAGGUAACCUGCCCAUGUGCCCGGGAUAACUUCUGGAAACGGAUGCUAAAACCGGAUAGGUAGCAGACAAGCAUUUGACUGCUAUUAAAGUGGCUAAGGCCAUGAACAUGGAUGGACCUGCGGUGCAUUAGCUAGUUGGUGAGGUAACGGCCCACCAAGGCGACGAUGCAUAGCCGGCCUGAGAGGGCGGACGGCCACAUUGGGACUGAGACACGGCCCAAACUCCUACGGGAGGCAGCAUG
RNAcentral lists this ribosomal RNA (252 nucleotides) under uncultured bacterium. RNAcentral's name for it is "partial 16S ribosomal RNA". It matches the Rfam family "Bacterial small subunit ribosomal RNA", at positions 108 to 353 of the family's 1533-position model. The record is from RNAcentral.